Molecule: transfer RNA, 72 nt
Filed under: Camelus bactrianus (Bactrian camel)
Lineage: Eukaryota; Metazoa; Chordata; Mammalia; Artiodactyla; Camelidae
Also listed under: 2 other names
Rfam family: tRNA
About the family: Transfer RNA (tRNA) molecules are approximately 80 nucleotides in length. Their secondary structure includes four short double-helical elements and three loops (D, anti-codon, and T loops).
Source: Rfam by way of RNAcentral
GAGGGUGGAGCUCAGUGGUGGAGUGCUUGCCUAGCAUGCACGAGGUCCUGGGUUCAAGCCCCAGCACUGCCA